CCAAGGAAUACACUCUGAAAUUGGUAAGGGAUAAGCCUUGCACCGAAUGAGCCCGAAAGCAACAAACGAUCAAGGGAUGUGGAUCGAAAGGUGACACAAGAGGGGCGGAAAGUCUCUUGAUACUACCCUAUAAUGACCGCCUCUAGAUAUGACACACUAGAUUAGACCAAGUUAGACUGAAGGAUAUUACACACCAACAAUCAUAAAAGUUUUGACCAAUGGAUAUGACACACCAUGAUCGAAAACAAGUUUGAUCCCUUGGAUAUGACGCACCAAGACGGAUCGAAAAGAUCAAUGGAUAUUACACACCAUUGAAAGAAAAGUGAGAAUCACUCUCAAGGUUCCAAAAAUAAUCACUCAAAGCUUAUUUUAUUUCAAUGGAGAUUACAACUUAUUUAUAAGAGACUAAACUUGCUCACAAAGCUAGAUAGUUAUUACAUUGGAAAUGAUAAAACUAGUGCAUGGAGGAGAGAGAGUGUUCUUGAAACAAGCAUUCUUUGCAUGUAGGAGAGAGAAGCUUUCCAUGCAAUUAACCACCUAAUUUUCGUCACUCUCUUUGGACAGCAAAGAAACCACUUGAUUUUGAAUCUUCUUGGGCUUGUAACAUGAUAAAAAUGGGCUGGACAUGCUACCUAACAUCAUGGAUCAAUUUCUGAAUGUCUUUCAUGUCCGUAGAUUCAUAUAUCAGCCCAUGAUCACAUCAUACUCCUCCUCUUCAAAAAGAUUUGUCCUCAAAUCUUGCUCUCCGAAGAAAGAAAAACUUGAAUACACACUUCCCAAAAGAUCCAGCAGAUUUGUAGAACAUAAAUAACAAAACUUUUUUUUUUCUUUUUUUUUUUUUUAGAAGAUGGAUAGAUGAGAAUGGUGAAUAACAGAAGUGAAUACCGCUUUCAGAGUGGCUCUGAUACCAAAUGAUAAAAACCUCCCAAGGAAUACACUCUGAAAUUGGUAAGGGAUAAGCCUUGCACCGAAUGAGCCCGAAAGCAACAAACGAUCAAGGGAUGUGGAUCGAAAGGUGACACAAGAGGGGCGGAAAGUCUCUUGAUACUACCCUAUAAUGACCGCCUCUAGAUAUGACACACUAGAUUAGACCAAGUUAGACUGAAGGAUAUUACACACCAACAAUCAUAAAAGUUUUGACCAAUGGAUAUGACACACCAUGAUCGAAAACAAGUUUGAUCCCUUGGAUAUGACGCACCAAGACGGAUCGAAAAGAUCAAUGGAUAUUACACACCAUUGAAAGAAAAGUGAGAAUCACUCUCAAGGUUCCAAAAAUAAUCACUCAAAGCUUAUUUUAUUUCAAUGGAGAUUACAACUUAUUUAUAAGAGACUAAACUUGCUCACAAAGCUAGAUAGUUAUUACAUUGGAAAUGAUAAAACUAGUGCAUGGAGGAGAGAGAGUGUUCUUGAAACAAGCAUUCUUUGCAUGUAGGAGAGAGAAGCUUUCCAUGCAAUUAACCACCUAAUUUUCGUCACUCUCUUUGGACAGCAAAGAAACCAC
This 1501-nucleotide long non-coding RNA is filed under the name Brassica rapa (field mustard). Its description in RNAcentral is "long non-coding RNA (BRAP_LNC008917)". Lineage: Eukaryota; Viridiplantae; Streptophyta; Magnoliopsida; Brassicales; Brassicaceae. The record is from RNAcentral.